RNAcentral lists this unclassified non-coding RNA (483 nucleotides) under Eucalyptus carnea. RNAcentral describes it as "partial miscellaneous RNA". Lineage: Eukaryota; Viridiplantae; Streptophyta; Magnoliopsida; Myrtales; Myrtaceae. The record is from RNAcentral.
GUUUCCAUUUACAAAAUGGAUAAGACUUUGGUUUUUAGUAAAAAGUCUAGCCGAGUUUUUUGAUUGGAAAGGAGCNAAUAACCAACACUCUUGAUAGAAAAAGAAAUUGGUUAUUGUUCCUUUAUUUAGUGCUCUUUUCUUUACAUAAGUUUUUCUUUACUUCAACAUAAGAAAAAGUAUUCUAGUCUUAGGGAUUGCUUUAUGAUUGCUUAUCAUACUUUUUUCCUUAGAUAUGAAUUUAUAUACAUUCUUUUCAACCCUUUGUAAGGCUUUGUGAGAUUAUUAUCUUCUAGUUUUUUUUUUUCAAAUAAAAUAGAAAGGUUCGAAUUUUCUGCUUCUUCUAUCUCAUAAUUAAGAUAGAAAAAUGUUAAAAAUUAACAAUCGAAAUGAAAUAUUUUCCAUUAUGAAUUUCUUUUUUUGAUUUCMUUAAAAAUGGAAUAUUCUUUUUUUAAAUGGAUUAAAAAAAAAAAAAAAUACUAUUAA